Molecule: long non-coding RNA, 2987 nt
Filed under: Glycine max (soybean)
Lineage: Eukaryota; Viridiplantae; Streptophyta; Magnoliopsida; Fabales; Fabaceae
Description: long non-coding RNA (GMAX_LNC002844)
Source: RNAcentral
GAAACUUUCCCCUAUUUCCAUUGCCUGAUAGUAGGCAGACUCUUCUUGUAGAAGAUGUCUUGAAUGUUAACUGUGGAAUAGGUUGCUCAAGCUCAAGCACAUGACAUCUUUUUAUAGAGGUAUAUGAAACCUGUGGUUUUCUGUUUGAAUUCUUCUGUCAUAAAGUUGAAUGUGCAAUGGAGAGAACAAUGGGAUGAUAAUUUUUAGAAUUAUUAUAUUCUUUGUAUUGAUGUCUCCUUUGGUAGUUUGUUGUGUUGUAUAUCUUAUGUACAUAUUGGACUUCUAUUUAUCCAGUUGCAUCUGGAGUCCUGUACUAACUAUUCAUCUUGUUAUUUGUUUGUCUAAAUAGAACAAAACCAUUUUGCAUCCUGAAAUAUGACCUAUUUUUCCCUUUCCUGCUUCCUCUGUUUCUCCCUAUGAAAUCCUCUUGGUUUAAUUUCUAUCUGUUAACAUACCCAAUUUAGUUACUGCUGGAACUUGCUCUUGGUUACUUUCUGUCUGUUAUUUUUGUAUGCUUGUUUCUAAUUUAUUUUAUUGACAAGGCUUUUGCAAAUAAAUUUUCAUGGUUGCUGUUUGACCACAUUUGUUUCCUGCAUGCAGAUGUGCCAAACUAUCAAUAGCAUGACAUUGACUUUUUUCAUUUGCAAUAACCUUAAAUCAAGGUUAUUGCAUAAGUGAAUCUUUUCUACCAUUGAUGAGUAACUGGAGGGAGAACAUGCAGUCCUCCUAUGUAGUAAUGACCAGAUUUGAACAGCAUGAUUGGUAAGAUGUUAAUUUAUAACACAUUGAGCUUGCUAUUGAUUUCUACAUUUUUCUUUAUUGUAUUUGAAUUUAUAUUUUAUGAUAACCUGAACAUACUUGAAUUUUCAUUAUCAAUUUGAAUCCUCUCAGUCUGUCUCACUCAUAGAAAUCAUCAGACUGCUAAGCAGCCAUCACAUCUCAUUUGCGAUUUUCUAGUCUGUAACCUGGUUGAGUAGAGUUACCUUCUCUAAUUAAGUUAUAUCCUUAGUUCUCAAUUGCACUGUAUAUAUUUCCUCUGUUAUUUUGCAUUUUGCAAAUAGGGUUGAUGGUGUUUUUAGUUCCUAAAAAUUUCCACAUUUUGGUGUUUUAGUCCCAGACUUUAAAGUCAAGGAUAAAACAAAAGUUUGGAUACUUUUCAGUGACUAAAAGCACUAUUAACCACUUGAACAUUUUAGGUGGAUGAGAUAAAAUCCCACAGAGCAAGCUCUAACAAGGUAUCUUUUUUAGUGUAGACUGGAGAGUUCUCAACUUUUUUUCAAUAAAAUAGAAGACAAAUCUCCCAAGUUAAAUUCAUAAAUCUCCAUCAGCAUAAACUCUUGAGAAAUGGUAACAACACCCUUUCUAACAAACUUUUUUGUUCUUUCAACUCACUAUAAUCUUUACUAUUGAGUGAAAUUUGUGUAUGCUCCAGUAAAUGAUGUGGGUCUUACUAAUCUCACUCCCUAUUUAGUUUGGCGCACAUGAAUUUUGCCCAGCAACAAGGAAUGUGCAAUAGAAUGUGAUGCUAACAUUCAUUUGAACUCUUGGCACUUGGAACAUUGACAACUGACUAGCUAGACCUUUAAGACUUUAAAGCAACUUUUACUUGUAGGUCCAUCACAAUUCUCACACCAGUUCAGAUUUAUUCUUCAAAAUAUUAAGCCACCCAUGACCAAUCCAUUUGGAACUGCGUUUUGUAUGUUCUGGGUGCAUUAGACACAAGGAAUUCUCAUAUAUAUAUAUAUAUAUAUAUUGGACAGAAAUUCUGCAGUAUGGCACUGUUUGCUGAAAUUGAUGAAUUGAAGUUAUCAAGAAUGGUCACAAAAACCUUUUAUCAAAUUCUUAAUUAAUUACGUAUCACCUAACCUACCCUUUGUGGGCUUCUUUCCUACCCUAGUUCUACCAUAAGGUUGCGACCUAUCAUUUUUCUUGAGAAAGAAACUGCCCAAGUUGUAACAGAGGGUUAUGGAAUCAAUGUUUAGCUCUCUUUUAAGCAACCUAGAAUCCUUUUUGUUAUUCUGUUUUAGAAAGUUUAAUUGAAUCUAUAAACUUUUUCCUUAUAAUAGUUAUCUUCUUUCUUUUUUUAAUACUGUCAUUUCAUGUGUUAGGGCCUUAGGGGGAAUUAUAUCACAAACUAAGGAUGAUCCUGAUUUUUAUUUUUAUUUUUAUCCCCCCUCCCUCCUUGUGCCCCCAAAAGAGGAAAGGAUAUGCUAUCUAAAUGACUAAUAUAAAAUGUAGUGUAAGUAAAACUACCUUACAGAUAGCUGAAAAAAAUCCUUACAUUAGGUAAUUGUGUUCCCUAUUCUAGUAUAACAGCCAAACAACUUUUAAAAGGUUAGGGAAAUGAGCUUUAGAGAAUUAUGUCAUAAUCUCUUUUUUGGGUUGCAAAAAUGAAUGUUGAUUGCUUUUCGGAUUUCAGUCUCUUUCAUUGUACCUAUCAAAUACAUGUACCUAAUAAUGAGGUGAUAUUGAUAAUUCAUUCAGAUAUAAUAAAAUUUUAGGGGGCUAUAUAAUAUAUAUACUCCUUAUAGUUUAUUUGGUUGUGAAAUAAUAACAAUUCAAAAUAAUAUACAUGGCACUAAAAAUUUGUGCAGGUGCUUAUUGCUUUGUACUCCCCAAGAAAGCUUCGUCGUGAGCAUUAAAAUAUGAUCAAAGCUGUUAUCUUUGUGCUUCAAUGCACAUAAGACGUAUGAGAAGGUGUGAAUAAGAUGUGGAGCAUUGAGAUCCAAAGAGUAUUUUUUGUGUAUAAAUAAAUGAUCACAGGUAACAUUAGCAUUACAAUGGAGGCGGUGAAAUCAAAGCAUAACCGACGAAUAAUAAUAGAUACAAUUGAGAGAAUCAUCCCUUUUCAACAACUCACGAAUAUUAAAGUAGGCACAAAACAAACGCACCAAAAUGCAUAUUCAUAUAAAUAUAUUAAGAUGUACCAAUGAAGUAUUCUUUUAACCAAGAGAAAUAUAGUAAUAAAUUUGAGCCAUCAAUUUCUA